GGUGAACGCUGGCGGUAGGCCUAACACAUGCAAGUCGAACGGCAGCACAGUAAGAGCUUGCUCUUACGGGUGGCGAGUGGCGGACGGGUGAGGAAUACAUCGGAAUCUACUUUUUCGUGGGGGAUAACGUAGGGAAACUUACGCUAAUACCGCAUACGACCUACGGGUGAAAGCAGGGGAUCUUCGGACCUUGCGCGAUUGAAUGAGCCGAUGUCGGAUUAGCUAGUUGGCGGGGUAAAGGCCCACCAAGGCGACGAUCCGUAGCUGGUCUGAGAGGAUGAUCAGCCACACUGGAACUGAGACACGGUCCAGACUCCUACGGGAGGCAGCAGUGGGGAAUAUUGGACAAUGGGCGCAAGCCUGAUCCAGCCAUACCGCGUGGGUGAAGAAGGCCUUCGGGUUGUAAAGCCCUUUUGUUGGGAAAGAAAAGCAGCAGGUUAAUACCCCGCUGCUCUGACGGUACCCAAAGAAUAAGCACCGGCUAACUUCGUG
This 492-nucleotide ribosomal RNA is filed under the name uncultured bacterium. Its description in RNAcentral is "partial 16S ribosomal RNA". It matches the Rfam family "Bacterial small subunit ribosomal RNA", at positions 28 to 507 of the family's 1533-position model. The record is from RNAcentral.